Molecule: ribosomal RNA, 264 nt
Filed under: Triticum aestivum (bread wheat)
Lineage: Eukaryota; Viridiplantae; Streptophyta; Magnoliopsida; Poales; Poaceae
Description: partial small subunit ribosomal RNA
Source: RNAcentral
AUGAGAACCCUAUGCUGGAACUGUCGUGGGAUUGGCGACCCCGCGACAGUAGAGCUCCGCGAUCUUAUGGAGGCUAGUGCGCCGUCGGUGCUUUGUAUAGUGGAGACACAGAUAGCAAAGAACCGAGUGGAGGGUUUGGAGGCUUCGUUAGGUUUUGAUAGUAGCUUUGCAGUAGCAAGUAGUGGAAGGAGUGGAGGAUUAUGUAUUUUCUGGAAAUCAACUGUUGAUCUUUUAAUAAAAAAACUUUUCUCAAUACCACAUUGA